RNAcentral lists this long non-coding RNA (1943 nucleotides) under Cicer arietinum (chickpea). RNAcentral's name for it is "long non-coding RNA (CARI_LNC001109)". Lineage: Eukaryota; Viridiplantae; Streptophyta; Magnoliopsida; Fabales; Fabaceae. The record is from RNAcentral.
GGCGCUUUUAAUAAUUCAUUUUUCCACCUUAUAAAUGACCCUAACUUUUAAGUUUAAAAUAAAAAGCUUCAACAAAUUUGGAGCAUGCCAAAUAAUAAUAUGGAGCAUAGGUCUACCUUCACCACCUCCUUCUUUCUUUUUCUCCUCCUCGCUCUCCCUUACUUCUCAAGAGGUAUCUACAUCUUUUAAACUAUAUAUCUAUAUUAUAUAUUUAAAUUUUUUUACAACAAUAUCAAAUUAUCAUAUAGUAAGGGGGUUUAAUUAAUUUGUUGGUGGUACUUAUUAAUUCUACUUAUUAUAUAUGUUAUUAUUAUUAUUGCAGGGGAAUCGGAAGCAAUAUUGGGAACAGAGAUAUAUGAGAUUGAUUAUAAAGGUCCUGAGACACACUCCUCGGUUCCUCCUCCUCAUCAUUCAGCUCCAAAGAAAAGCUUAGUCAGAGCACCAAAUAAGGCAAGUGUGUAUCUUUAUUUUAAAUUAUGCUACCCUUCUUCAAAUUUAAUCAUGAUGUUAUAUUUCAUUACAUAUAUGCCGGUUCAGUUAAUUAGUUAGAAUGAGUAUGAUAAAAUUGUAAUCAAAAGAUACAAGUAUUUGUAUUGUACUAUAGACAUAGCUAACUUAAUAAUCAUAAUUGAAUUACCAAGAGAGAGACCAUUUCUCCACUUGUCACUAAUCAAAGUUCAAAUUCAAAUAACUAUUAGGAAACCUUAUCACAAUAGAUAAAAUAGUGAAGAGUAAAGGGUUUAAUCAUGUAUUUUGCUAACGAGUGAUAUUAAAACAUUUAUUAACAAAUCAAAAUAAAAGUUUUAUAUUGAAAAUAAUUAAUUUUUAAAGAGUUGAAAAUAUAAAUUUUAAUACAUUUGUAUUUGAUUUUUUCUAUUUUUGGUUCUUUAUAAUAAGUGCUCCAAGCAAGGUUGUUUAAUAAGUUAAAAAAUAAUUUUUUUUAUAGAAAAUGGUGUAUCUAAUUCAUUGGAUUAAUAUUUUACUUUAUUUAAAAUUCUGAAAUAAUAUUUUUAGAGCACUUGUUAACAAGAUCUUAAUUAUAAACAAAGUCGAAGUAAAGUUCAAUUUAUUUAGGCGUCAAUUUAGAUCAUAAACCCUCAAGUGGACCAAAGUUGAAUAUGCAAAAAAAAAAAAAAAACUUUCAAUUGGGCCUAUCACAAAAUAUUCAAGUUGAGGAAGAGUUUUGAGUAAAAUAAAAUGUUUACGAGCAAGGUGAAGUGAAGUUUAAACCUAAGAUUAUGAACUAUCAAACUUAAUCCACUAAACACCAAUAUGCAAAACACUCAUCCAAUCAAGUCUGUAUUAUAUACAUCUAAACAUUUAAUUUUCUUCUCCACUGCAGAUUAAGAAAGUCAAUGGAUGAGGGGAAGCUUUUAAAAUUAAAUGGAUCGACUUGUACUACUUCUCUCAUAAAGAAAUACUUAGAGGAAGUAAUGAAUGGAGAGUUUUGUAUGGUUUUCCCUAUAAUUGUUUUUUGAUACUAGUAUGGUUUACCUAUAAUUGAUAACAAGAAAAACUUCUGCAUAUAUUAAUGCUUAACAAAUGAUCAGAUCACUAGAUCAUUUGCUUGAACUUUUGGUUCGUAAAUUGAGUAUACAUAUUUUAUUUAUCUCAAUUUUAUCAGUUAAAUAAUGAGUAGAUCAAUCACAAAUUGAUAUUGCUUGAAAACAUUGCCACACUUUUUUCUUUUUUUUUUUGGAUGCCCAUGCUACAAGGAUCAUAUAUGAGAUAAAUUUUAAGACAGAUCGUGUAUGUCAGAUACUUAAAUAUUAUUUGAAUUUUUAGUUAGAAUCUAAGACUAAUCUAAGACAAUUAUUUUUAUUUUUUUUGGUUUGACAUGUUGAAUUUCAAAUAAUACUAUAAUUUUCUCUAAUUUAUCAAGUAAUUGUGUCAAGUAAAAAUUUGAAAAUUUGUUAACUUAUAUUUAUGCAUCUCAUCUCUCC